GGAAAGAUGGCUGAGUGGUUUAAGGCGCACGCUUGGAAAGUGUGUGUACCUUCAUUGGUACCGUGGGUUCGAAUCCCACUCUUUCCUCCA
This 90-nucleotide transfer RNA is filed under the name Candidatus Pelagibacter communis. RNAcentral's name for it is "tRNA-Ser". It matches the Rfam family "tRNA". From Rfam's summary of the family: Transfer RNA (tRNA) molecules are approximately 80 nucleotides in length. The record is from RNAcentral. Lineage: Bacteria; Pseudomonadati; Pseudomonadota; Alphaproteobacteria; Candidatus Pelagibacterales; Candidatus Pelagibacteraceae.